CCUUCGAUAGCUCAGUUGGUAGAGCGGUGGACUGUAGGAGCGAUGUUGAAAAAUCAAUAGUAAUCCAUAGGUCACUGGUUCAAAUCCGGUUCGAAGGA
RNAcentral lists this transfer RNA (98 nucleotides) under Anopheles funestus (African malaria mosquito). Its description in RNAcentral is "tRNA-Tyr for anticodon GUA". It matches the Rfam family "tRNA". From Rfam's summary of the family: Transfer RNA (tRNA) molecules are approximately 80 nucleotides in length. Their secondary structure includes four short double-helical elements and three loops (D, anti-codon, and T loops). Further hydrogen bonds mediate the characteristic L-shaped molecular structure. tRNAs have two regions of fundamental functional importance: the anti-codon, which is responsible for specific mRNA codon recognition, and the 3' end, to which the tRNAs corresponding amino acid is attached (by aminoacyl-tRNA synthetases). tRNAs cope with the degeneracy of the genetic code in two manners: having more than one tRNA (with a specific anti-codon) for a particular amino acid; and 'wobble' base-pairing, i.e. permitting non-standard base-pairing at the 3rd anti-codon position. Lineage: Eukaryota; Metazoa; Arthropoda; Insecta; Diptera; Culicidae. The record is from RNAcentral.